GAAGGUAUAGCUCAAGUGGUAGAGCUCAUGCUUAGCAUGCACAAGGUCCUGGGUUCAAUCCCCAGUACCUCCU
RNAcentral lists this transfer RNA (73 nucleotides) under Camelus bactrianus (Bactrian camel). It matches the Rfam family "tRNA". From Rfam's summary of the family: Transfer RNA (tRNA) molecules are approximately 80 nucleotides in length. Their secondary structure includes four short double-helical elements and three loops (D, anti-codon, and T loops). RNAcentral also lists the same sequence under 2 other names. The record is from Rfam by way of RNAcentral. Lineage: Eukaryota; Metazoa; Chordata; Mammalia; Artiodactyla; Camelidae.